GAUGAACGCUGGCGGCGUGCUUAACACAUGCAAGUCGAACGGGAAUUACUUUAUUGAAACUUCGGUCGAUUUAAUUUAAUUCUAGUGGCGGACGGGUGAGUAACGCGUGGGUAACCUGCCUUGUACAGGGGGAUAACAGUCAGAAAUGACUGCUAAUACCGCAUAAGCGCACAGGACCGCAUGGUCCGGUGUGAAAAACUCCGGUGGUAUAAGAUGGACCCGCGUUGGAUUAGCUUGUUGGUGGGGUAACGGCCCACCAAGGCGACGAUCCAUAGCCGGCCUGAGAGGGUGAACGGCCACAUUGGGACUGAGACACGGCCCAGACUCCUACGGGAGGCAGCAGUGGGGAAUAUUGCACAAUGGGGGAAACCCUGAUGCAGCGACGCCGCGUGAAGGAAGAAGUAUCUCGGUAUGUAAACUUCUAUCAGCAGGGAAGAAAAUGACGGUACCUGACUAAGAAGCCCCGGCUAACUACGUGCCAGCAGCCGCGGUAAUACGUAGGGGGCAAGCGUUAUCCGGAUUUACUGGGUGUAAAGGGAGCGUAGACGGAUGGACAAGUCUGAUGUGAAAGGCUGGGGCUCAACCCCGGGACUGCAUUGGAAACUGCCCGUCUUGAGUGCCGGAGAGGUAAGCGGAAUUCCUAGUGUAGCGGUGAAAUGCGUAGAUAUUAGGAGGAACACCAGUGGCGAAGGCGGCUUACUGGACGGUAACUGACGUUGAGGCUCGAAAG
This 730-nucleotide ribosomal RNA is filed under the name uncultured Lachnospiraceae bacterium. RNAcentral's name for it is "bacterial SSU rRNA". It matches the Rfam family "Bacterial small subunit ribosomal RNA", at positions 28 to 759 of the family's 1533-position model. The record is from RNAcentral. Lineage: Bacteria; Bacillati; Bacillota; Clostridia; Lachnospirales; Lachnospiraceae.